Molecule: long non-coding RNA, 1096 nt
Filed under: Marmota monax (woodchuck)
Lineage: Eukaryota; Metazoa; Chordata; Mammalia; Rodentia; Sciuridae
Source: RNAcentral
CCUGCGGGGCUAGAGGCUUGGAGGGCAGUACGAGCCGGCCCCUCCCUGCCUGAGCGUCUCGGGCCCCAGAGAGCCCCCCAGAUGGGAGCCAGAGGUGCCCUGGCCGGAUCCGGGACACACCCAUGGGUAGGGAGGCCGUGGGGCACCGGCCUAUGGCCAGCACCUGGCGUGGCUCCAGCUGUCCAGCAGGUCCUCGCUCCGCCUCCCAGCUUCCCGGCCCCAGAGGCCCUGUGUCUGGGGUCAUCCUGCCUCUGAGCCUUGCUUUCCCGUCUGGACAGGGGGAGUAGGGCGUCCCCGGUUGCCUCAUCCUAGCCUGGUGAGUGGAGGAGGGCGCGGGGUGGGGCGGCUCCGUGGUGGUCCUGCCCAGCAAGGCCCCGGGUUCCUGCCCCAGCACCUCGGGAGACAGAGCGGACCAGACACGCUUCUUAGCAGCACCCUCGCCCUGGCCGCAAUACGUUCUGCCCGGCCCCAGCCAACCCUCGCCCCACGCUGCUGAGCCCUGCAGGCCACCUGUCCCAGGCCUCGGCCAGACUUCCUGGGGGCGCAGCCUUGGAGACACCAGCGGGUCUCGUCCCCCCGCGUCUCCUCCUCCCUCUGCGGCUCCAGCUUCCCACUCUGUGGGUGGCUGGGGCUCCUGAGUCCCAGGUCAGCCCCCAUCUCCCUUUGUCCCCUGUUCUGGCCAUGGCAGGGCACCCACACUUGUCCCCAGGUGGCCCUGAGGCCUUGCUCAUGUCUGUCACUCAGGUCUGUGAAACACACCCCAGCAGGUGCUGACUUCCUGCCUGGGCCUCGACACUUGCUGUCAUUGCAGAAAUUAACGGUCACCAGUGAAGCUCGGCCGGCUGUGUUCAGUGUCCUGUGUGCCCACGUCCCACAGGUUCCCUGCCCUGUGCUCUGCCCUGUGAGCGCUGGCUGCCCGAGGUCACGUCCAGGACUCCUGUUCAGCCCCAGCAGGCCACAGCCCCUCUGCGUCUCCCUUCUCUCCCUGUGACGUUCUUUGUCCCCUCUCAUGGAGGUUGGCUUGAUUUCAGGGCAGACGGCCUCUCCUCAGAGCUCUGGCAAUGGUGCAGCCAUUUUUUCAAGACAAAUAUAAUGG